RNAcentral lists this unclassified non-coding RNA (305 nucleotides) under uncultured fungus. Its description in RNAcentral is "partial contains 5.8S ribosomal RNA, internal transcribed spacer 2, and large subunit ribosomal RNA". Lineage: Eukaryota; Fungi. The record is from RNAcentral.
AACGCACAUUGCGCCCGCUGGUAUUCCGGCGGGCAUGCCCGUUCGAGCGUCAUUUCAAUCCCUUCCCGGGAGACCCAGUUUUUAUUACUGGGUCUCGCGGGGCGUUGGCACUGGACGCCUUUUUUUUUAGGUGACCGGCGCCCAAAUAUAGUGGCGGACGCGUGGCGGCCCCUAGCGCAGUAGAACAAACCUUCUCGCUCAGGAGGCUCGCGGCGGCGGACCACAGCCCUAUGCAAGCUUUAAAAAACUUGCAACUAAAUAACAAACUUGACCUCGGAUCGGGUAGGACUACCCGCUGAACUUAA